This 1049-nucleotide small RNA is filed under the name uncultured Pelagibacterales bacterium. RNAcentral's name for it is "bacterial SSU rRNA". The stretch from base 1 to 658 matches the Rfam family "Bacterial small subunit ribosomal RNA", at positions 867 to 1533 of the family's 1533-position model. Lineage: Bacteria; Pseudomonadati; Pseudomonadota; Alphaproteobacteria; Candidatus Pelagibacterales. The record is from RNAcentral.
CACCGCCUGGGGAGUACGACCGCAAGGUUAAAACUCAAAUGAAUUGACGGGGACCCGCACAAGCAGUGGAGCAUGUGGUUUAAUUCGAAGAUACGCGCAGAACCUUACCAACACUUGACAUGUUCGUCGCGAACCUAAGAGAUUAGGUUCUUCAGUUUGGCUGGACGAAACACAGGUGCUGCAUGGCUGUCGUCAGCUCGUGUCGUGAGAUGUUGGGUUAAGUCCCGCAACGAGCGCAACCCUUACUUUUAGUUGCCACCAUUAAGUUGGGCACUCUAAAAGAACUGCCAGUGAUAAGCUGGAGGAAGGUGGGGAUGACGUCAAGUCCUCAUGGCCCUUACGUGUUGGGCUACACACGUGCUACAAUGGUAUUCACAGUGAGAUGCAAAGAGGCGACUCUAAGCUAAUCCCAAAAAAAUACCUCAGUUCGGAUUGUACUCUGCAACUCGAGUACAUGAAGCUGGAAUUGCUAGUAAUCGCGGAUCAGCGCGCCGCGGUGAAUACGUUCCCGGGUCUUGUACACACCGCCCGUCACACCAUGGAAGUUGGUUACACCUUAAGACAGAGCGUAAAACCUUUGGCUACGGUACGAUCAGCAACUGGGGUGAAGUCGUAACAAGGUAGCCGUAGGGGAACCUGCGGCUGGAUCACCUCCUUUCUAAGGAAAUCGAUAAUAUUAUUUUCGAUUUAAAAAAACCAGUAAUGUGACCGUCCUCAUUUCUCUUCUUUUUAAUGUCUCUGAGUGUUAUGUGAUCUAAGGGGCCGGUAGCUCAGGUGGUUAGAGCGCACCCCUGAUAAGGGUGAGGUCGGAAGUUCGAGUCUUCCUCGGCCCACCAAUAUUUCGGGGGAUUAGCUCAGCUGGGAGAGCGCCUGAUUUGCAUUCAGGAGGUCAGCGGUUCGAUCCCGCUAUCCUCCACCAAAAUUUAAGACAUUUAGCUUUUUUAAAUCGUAAAUAAUUUUAUUAUCAAUAUCUAUAUCCGAUUGUUUUCAAAUUUUUUUGAAAACAAUCAAAACAAAAAUUUAAUUUAUUACAGAAAAGUUUUUUUCUG